UACAGAGGUCUCGAGCGUUAGGCGGAAUCACUGGGCUUAAAGCGUGUGUAGGCGGAUUGGUAAGUACUUUGUGAAAUCCCACGGCUUAACCGUGGAACUGCUUGGUAUACUGCCAGUCUUGAGCCAGCUAGGGGCUACCGGAACAAAUGGUGGAGCGGUGAAAUGCGUAGAUAUCAUUUGGAACGCCAAUGGUGAAAACAGCUCGCUGGGGGUUUGCUGACGCUGAGACACGAAAGCCAGGGGAGCAAACGGG
RNAcentral lists this ribosomal RNA (253 nucleotides) under uncultured bacterium. RNAcentral's name for it is "partial 16S ribosomal RNA". It matches the Rfam family "Bacterial small subunit ribosomal RNA", at positions 524 to 776 of the family's 1533-position model. The record is from RNAcentral.